This 272-nucleotide ribosomal RNA is filed under the name Escherichia coli. RNAcentral's name for it is "partial 16S ribosomal RNA". It matches the Rfam family "Bacterial small subunit ribosomal RNA", at positions 1 to 269 of the family's 1533-position model. Lineage: Bacteria; Pseudomonadati; Pseudomonadota; Gammaproteobacteria; Enterobacterales; Enterobacteriaceae. The record is from RNAcentral. RNAcentral also lists the same sequence under 1 other name.
AAAUUGAAGAGUUUGAUCAUGGCUCAGAUUGAACGCUGGCGGCAGGCCUAACACAUGCAAGUCGAACGGUAACAGAAAGAAGCUUGCUUCUUUGCUGACGAGUGGCGGACGGGUGAGUAAUGUCUGGGAAACUGCCUGAUGGAGGGGGAUAACUACUGGAAACGGUAGCUAAUACCGCAUAACGUCGCAAGACCAAAGAGGGGGACCUUCGGGCCUCUUGCCAUCGGAUGUGCCCAGAUGGGAUUAGCUUGUUGGUGGGGUAACGGCUCACC